This is a long non-coding RNA of Manihot esculenta (cassava), 1006 nucleotides long. RefSeq lists it as uncharacterized. The transcript is spliced from 3 exons. NCBI's taxonomy places the organism in Eukaryota, Viridiplantae, Streptophyta, Magnoliopsida, Malpighiales, Euphorbiaceae. The record is from RefSeq and is a predicted model, not a curated record.
AUAUUUAAUCAAUUUUUUUUAAUCUUCUCUCUAACGUUUUCAAAGAGAAUUUUUCUCUCUUUUUUAGAUUGUCAUUGGUGAGACACUCGGCCUCUUGGUCUGCUGUGUAGCGGUUUCCCCUGCUCCUUCUUCCCUUGUCCUAGAUGUGGGUCUCCUCUCCUCUUGUGGGAUCGAAGGGUCGUUUACGUUCUUCUUUUGAAGGAGUUGGAUGAACUAUGGAUGGUUUUGCUUUGGUUAUACCAGUCCCAAAAGAAGUGAACCCCUUUUUGGUUCAGAUCUAUGGUUGCAUGUGCAUGUGGCUGUUGUUUCAUGGAGCUAUGGGUUGUCUUCUCUUCUGAGCUUCAGUUUGCCUUCAUAUGGUCUUAUUGCUACUACCGGAGAUCCUUUUCAAAACCUCAGUAUAGGUUAUUUUCUUAGGCAACCGGUGAUUCCAAAGGAGCAAGACAUUGGUAGAGUCUUUGCAAUUAGGUCUUGACUCAGGUGAGAAGGCUCGUAGAUCAAUUUCCUACACUUGCUUUCCUCUGCUCUAGCGAAGAAAGGCAUGAAGAUGACUAGCGGAGCAGAGCUCGAAGAAAGGCGCAAUUGGAUUACCGAAGAGUGCAUCCCCAUCACUUUUUUGCUAGAGCCACUUGAUCUGUGGAGUUGUAGUUGAUCUGGAUGGUUAAGAUUUAUGUGGUUACAUCGUUCUAUUAUCUGGUUCUGGUGGUUAUUUGUGUUUUUCAAGCUAAGUUUCUCCUCUUUGGUGGUUUUGGUUUGCUAAGUGUGGUAUCAUUUCCUUUGACUUCAGUUGGUCUGUUAUGGUUGUUUCGGCUACGAUAAGAGAUCUUCCAAGCUCUAUGGUUUCAUUUUCUAGCAGCCAGUGCAACCAGGAUGAGGAACAACGCAGCAAACAUUUCUUCCACUGAAUAUGAGUUUCAGGUCGUCUGAAUUGGGUAUCUAGGUUCUCUGUUCUUGGGCCUAAAGGCCUAUAUUUUUAUUACAUUAGGGCCUUGACCUUUUAUCAUAU